UUUCAUGUUGCCGCAACACCGCAAUAACCAUUGCAGUUGCAGCCAGUGAAAGUGUCUGUCUGUCUGUCUGCCUGUCGGUCUAUUUAUAAGGCAGCCAAAUGUCAUGUGAAGUGCUGUUAAGAUAAACAUUAUCACAUUGAAGGUGCCAAGGAUUAUUAAUAAUCCAUGAUAGUAAAUCCAGGCAGACAACUUAUCAACUCAUCUUUCCGCAGCCUGAGCAAUUCGUCGCAAAACCGGAGUGGUUCCCUUUCCACAGCCAUAUCGGCCAGAUUGCACUGCACUUCGUCCUCUGAAACGGAUUCGAGGGUUACAUCCAGGCCAAGAAAAGUGGAGCCCUUGGAAAUGUCGACACUUUCCGACAGCUCGUGACAGAUUCAAAUUAGUUUAGACCCGAUUUUCCCACUUGCGAUGCGAUUUUGUGGACCGAAGAGUGGAGAAUGGAUGCCAUAACCAUGUGCCACCCAAG
Long non-coding RNA from Drosophila gunungcola (fruit fly), 466 nucleotides. RefSeq lists it as uncharacterized. The transcript is spliced from 3 exons. NCBI's taxonomy places the organism in Eukaryota, Metazoa, Arthropoda, Insecta, Diptera, Drosophilidae. The record is from RefSeq and is a predicted model, not a curated record.